GCAGCCAGAGGUUUAUCAGCAGGGCUCAGCAGUUCAGGUGAGUUUCCUUCCAGUAGGAAUGGGUCUAAGGCCACAAUGCCGGCCCGUUUAGCUAGCAGUAGUUUCGGAUGUUGAUCUGAUACAGUAGUUAGUAUGUUUGAUGCCUUCGUGGCUCAAACAGGAUUUAUGUGUUAUGUGUUCCGGGCUACGGCCCGAUGUAGUAUGCAGUAUAUGUGAGUUUAUGCCAGUUGAUAUGUUAUGAUAUGCUGUGUUCAGUUAACUUCGGACUUCGGUCCGAUGGAGGGGACAAGGUCCCAGACAGUUAGCUUCGGACUUCGGUCCGAUGUCAGCUUCGGACUUCGGUCCGAUGGAGGGGACAAGGUCCCAGAUAGUCAGCUUCGGACUUCGGUCCGAUGGAGGGGGCAAGGCCCUAGACAGUUAGCUUCGGACUUCGCCCUGAUGUCAGCUUUGGACUUCGGUCCGAUGGAGGGGACAAGGUCCCAGAUAGCCAGCUUCGGACUUCGGUCCGAUGGAGGGGGCAAGGCCCCAGUCAGUUAGCUUCGGACUUCGGUCCGAUGUCAGCUUCGGACUUCGGUUCGAUGUAGGGGCAAGGCUCCGUUAGUCCGGACUUCGGUCCAAUGCAGUGGGCAAGGCCCAAUAUGUGCUUUAUAUGUUUUUGUGCGAUAUGUGGUAGAUUGGGGGAGCUCACUAAGCUUCGUGCUUACGGUUUUCAGUUUUGGUUUCAGGUACUCGGUUUUCAAAAGAGGAGCUCGGGAAGAUUGCAGAGUACACACCAUAGUCAGUUAGCCUGGGAAUGUUUGACUCUGAUAAUGCUAUUAUGUUUUGAAUUUAAUACUCAAAAGUUAUGUUUGACUUAUGAUACGUUGUUUAUAAAUCCAUUUUUAGUAAUGUUUUAAAAGA
RNAcentral lists this long non-coding RNA (900 nucleotides) under Lactuca sativa (garden lettuce). Its description in RNAcentral is "long non-coding RNA (LSAT_LNC005775)". Lineage: Eukaryota; Viridiplantae; Streptophyta; Magnoliopsida; Asterales; Asteraceae. The record is from RNAcentral.